Molecule: long non-coding RNA, 236 nt
Filed under: Ananas comosus (pineapple)
Lineage: Eukaryota; Viridiplantae; Streptophyta; Magnoliopsida; Poales; Bromeliaceae
Description: long non-coding RNA (ACOM_LNC020382)
Source: RNAcentral
AUAUAUAUAUAUAUAUAUAGAGUCCGGCUACUAUGCCAUCGGUAGUACGGAGCGUUCCGUGCUACCAAGUUGUUUUCGAUGAUGCGGCUUCCAAAUCGGCGAUCGGCUCCGUUAGACUUGAUCUACACUAUUGAAAGUAUUUGGAAACUAAAUUUUAGAUUUUUUCGACAUCAUUUGACUAGUGAUCAAAAGAUCUCAAAAUUGACAAUUUUAAUGGCCGAUGUGGCGUGUUUGUG